CUUCAUUGCUAGGCUCUCGGCAUCCAAAGACAUGAAGCCCGUUGCUUUAGAAGAGGCCUUUGAGCUUUAUUGCCAAGGUGUAAGCAAUUAUGGACCUUAUUGGGACCACGUUCUAGGGUUCUGGAAAGCAAGUUUGGACCGACCUGAUAAGAUUUUUUUCUUGAAAUACGAAGAAAUGAUAGAAGAUACUGUUUUAUACAUUAAGAAAUUAGCUGAUUUCAUCGGUUAUCCUUUCUCUUCUGAAGAAAUCAAAAAAGGGUCAGUCGACAAGAUCGUAAGCAUGUGUAGUUUCGAGAACUUAAGCAAUUUGGAAGUGAAUAAAAGUGGCAAACAUCGUGAAGGAACUCCAGGGGUGAUUGAAAACAAGAUCUAUUUCCGAAAAGGUAAGGUUGGGGAUUGGGAGAAUUAUUUGACACCUGAAAUGGCUGCUCAGUUGGACUCGAUAACGUUACAGAAGCUAAAUGGUUCAGGCUUAACUCUGUGAUUGAAUCAUAAAGCAACCAUGGGGUACAUUGUCCCUUCUCUGCAAUUUCGACAUAUUGUGUUUCUAAAAAUAAUUUGCGUAUGCUUUUUGCAAGUAGCAACACUUCUCGUGUUGCUCAUGUUAAGAUCAAUAAAAAGUAUAGUUGGUUCAAUUGAAAUCGAUUCAAUUAAUAUAAUUUGAUAUAAGUGAUUUGAUUUUGUUAUUUUAAUUUUUAUGGAUAUACUACACCAACUGUCCUAAGCUUUGUAUCAAAAUUACAUUUCGGUUACCCAACUUUUAAAAUUUAUAUCAUAGUCACUAACAUUAUCAAAUUGUUACAUUUUUGUCACUCGACUACUGUUAACUUCUGUUAAAGAAGUAACGUUGCACCUUAAUUCAGAAGGUUAAUAGUUAAUUUGGUACCUGAACUAUAGUUAAAAAAUUAUUUUCAUAUUUAAAUUUUUUUUUACAAUAAUUGUAAAAAAGUAAAAAAAAGUCUUAAAAAUAAAAUUCAUAUAAACAAGAAACAACUAAGAAUUUUGCUACUGUCUUUGCUCUCUCUCUCUUUUUUUUUUUUCUCUUUUUUCAUGCAAGUCAACGUUGGCUCCGCUCUUCCCUAAUCUUUAAAAAUAAUAUAUAUAUAGGUUUUAUUUAUAGCUAAAAGUAAAAUAUUGACUUGAAAUUUGAGAGAAGAAAGGUGGGUUUGGAGAAGAAGAAUAGCACUUUGUAUUAUAAAUUUAAAAACGAAAACCCAAUCAGUGUAACACCCCAAACCCAACCUAGACAUUAUGGCUGAAUCUUGAAGGUUACAUUAACUUCUUGAGAAUUUAGAUUGUUAUUUUCUGAAAUGUCAACUUGUUUUUCUGUAAAAGUAAAUUCUUAUAAAAAAACACGUUUUCACUUAUUAGUUGCAAAAAAAAAAAAAAUCCAUUCUACAAUAAGGGUUUCUUUAAAACAUUUGUUCUUUAGUACUAAAUUGAAAUAAUAGACCUAUAGUGAACUCGCUUAUUUUUCAGAAAAUUAGAUUUCUCAUUUUGUUUUGCAGUGGAAAAACUUUUACUUGUAUAAUUUUGAAAAUCGAACAUUUUUUUUAAUUAACAGAAAUCAUGUAGAAAAUUUAAACUAAUUAACUAAAAACUGAACAAAACCCAAAUCCAAAAUAAAAGUUCAAAAAUUAGUUCGACAGUCCAAAAGUCCAUAAAUUUUAAUUAAUAAUUAUUUAAAAUGAUCUUAUGCAAGAAAACUAAUACGAGCUCCCGAGUGCCGCCCAAUCCUAAUCCCGUGGGUUACCUGAAAUAUUAAGCAAGUGGGUGAGCUAAAAAGCUCAGUGUGUGCCUUACUCUACCCGUAAACAUGGACAAAUAACUCUACCAGUAAACAAUUCUACUAGUUGAAACAUGGAAAACACAACAAACAUAAUUUUGACCAACAUAAAGCCCACCAAUUUAAAUGACCCAAUCACCCUUCAAAAACCUAUCAAUACCUUCAUCUACUUAGCUUAAAAUUAGAUCAUCUAAAUUCCAAAUUAAGGCCACUCAAUGCAUAAGGUUGAUUUUAAAGGAGUUUUAUAGAUGUGAUUUAAAAGCACUAAAAUCACAUGGAUGAAUUACAAAAAUUUUACUGUGUACUCGUGAAAUAAAGUAACUUUAUUUACAUAGACCAAUUUUUAUUAAAAUAUUUGCACUCAUAUCCCUUUUUGGUUUAUUUGAUUAUUGUUAUAAAAAAAUUGAAUCGAUUUAGUGCACACUUUAUUUUUUUUUCACCUUCUAUUUUUUUUCAUGAUCUUAUUGAUUCGACCAUAAAAUUUUUUUAUGAUAUGGAAUAAAAUUCUAAUCUAUUAGAUGUGAAUUGCUCUAAUCUAAGCAUAAUUAUUGUACAAUUUUGUUAAAAAAAUACUUUAUUUUAUGAAACUAUAUAUUUUGAAAUAAUUAUGAAUAUAUUAAUAUUAGUCUGUUGAUGUGAACAAUUAUUUUUAAAACUUUUAUAAGAUUUUUUAUUUUUUAAUUUUAAAAAGUACACACGUUCUUUUAUUUGAGUUAUCAUGUUACUUUCAUUAAAAUAGUACAAUUAAUUUUUGUGUAAAAUUUAAAAAUGCACUUCACCUUUUAAAAAUAAAAAAAUGCAUAGGACAGCACUAACUACAUUUAUUUAUUAAUUUAGUUCCUGUAAUUCUACUCGAAUUCAAGAAAUCACGUGGUGGACAUAAUAAAAAACUGAUAUUAAAAGCAAAUAAUUCUCCACACUAAGAUCACAUGGUUGAAUUAAAAAAAGUUGAUUGCGUAAUUGUGAAAGAACUUACCUUUUCUCUAAAGCUAUUUAUAGAUCCAAUUUUUGUCAAAAUACUUGCACUCAUUUCUCCUUUUGUUUUUCCUUUAUCAAAAUGGCCUCCUUCAAAGAGAUCAUCUCAACACUCCCAAGAAGAAAAGGCUGGACUGACUCAAAUAACGACCUUUUUUUGUAUCAAGGCUUCUGGUGUUACUCGUUUUUCAUUGAAGGAGUGAUGUCGGCUCAACAAAAUUUUCAAUCCCAACCUUCCGAUAUCGUCAUAUGCAGUGCACCGAAAACUGGAACAACAUGGUUAAAGUCCCUCACUUUCGCCAUUGUCACAAGAACCACCUUCGAUGAUUCCACUAGCCCUUUACUUGCCAAUCUAUCACAUGAUUGUGUACCCUUUUUAGAGGUUGAUUUAGCCCAAUCUUCUACCAAUCGAGACCCUAAAAAUCCUUUGUUAGCCACACAUGUCCCUUACUCUUCUUUACCAAGAUCAAUAAUUGAUUCCAGUUGUAAAAUUGUUUACAUUUGUAGGAACCCUAAGGAUUCAUUCGUUUCGUUUUAUCACUUCAUUGCUAGGCUCUCGGCAUCCAAAGACAUGAAGCCCGUUGCUUUAGAAGAGGCCUUUGAGCUUUAUUGCCAAGGUGUAAGCAAUUAUGGACCUUAUUGGGACCAUGUUCUAGGGUUCUGGAAAGCAAGUUUGGACCGACCUGAUAAGAUUCUUUUCUUGAAAUACGAAGAAAUGAUAGAAGAUACUGUUUUAUAUGUUAAGAAAUUAGCUGAUUUCAUCGGUUAUCCUUUCUCUUCUGAAGAAAUCAAAAAAGGGUCAAUCGACAAGAUCGUAAGCAUGUGUAGU
This 3590-nucleotide long non-coding RNA is filed under the name Gossypium barbadense (sea-island cotton). RNAcentral describes it as "long non-coding RNA (GBAR_LNC013810)". The record is from RNAcentral. Lineage: Eukaryota; Viridiplantae; Streptophyta; Magnoliopsida; Malvales; Malvaceae.